Arachis ipaensis is the source of this 1137-nucleotide non-coding RNA. NCBI's taxonomy places the organism in Eukaryota, Viridiplantae, Streptophyta, Magnoliopsida, Fabales, Fabaceae. The record is from RefSeq and is a predicted model, not a curated record.
CGAAGAGGGAGAAAGGGGAAGAGAGAAGAAAGGAGAUCCGACGAUGAGAGAGGGUCGCGCUGCUGCCACCGUCAGAACCGUGAGGAGAGGGAGUCGCGCCGUCAGCCACGUCGCCGUCCGUGAAGCCAUCGCAGUCCGUGAAGCCAUCGCUGCCAGCCGCGUCGUUACUGUCGUCGCCGGUUUUCACCACGCCUCGUCACCACCGCCGCGCCGUGCUCCAUGCCGUCGCCGCCACUGUUUCGUCACAAGAGAAGGACGCACGAGGGAGGAAACAGAACCGCGAGGGAGCUCAGCCACGGAGAGAGGAGAUGCGCGUCAGAUCUGUCGCCGCGAGUCCGCCCAUCGCCACACCACGUCGCCGACUGUGAAGCUGUCUCCGUCGCCGCUGCUGGAGGUCACCAUCGGAGCCGCUGCUCCACUUCUGUCAUUCUUCUUUUUACAGUGAGUUGCCCGCGCCUUGAACCGUGUUUCCUUUUUGUAGUUCCACCUUGUCCUAGGUUCCCAGCAGCAAUGUCUGCAAAUGAAUUAGCAUCAACACCAGCCAUGUUCAAUAGCACACUCACAAAGGAUGAAGCAUUCUUGUGUCCUGUUGAUGGAUCCAUUAUGAUAAUAGCGAGUCAUCUGCCCUUCAACCGGAAUGGAUUCAAAUUUUUCACAAAUGCUGGUGGACUUGGAAAGACUGAUAUCAAAGACGUAUUAGAGCGAGCUGCUGAUAUAUACAAUCAAUUUACAGCUGAAAGUUUAGCAAAUUCUGAGAGAAAGGCUUCAUCAUCUAUUAAGCAAGUUGAUUACAUGAAUGUAUAUACAUCUGACCUAGUAAAGGCAGUUCGCAAAGCAGCGGGAAGCAUAGGUUAUGGCAUAAAGGCUUAGAAAUCUAAGUUAAGGAUUUAAGUACAACUUCAAGAGGCAAUGCAAGAUUGUGAGGAGCUAACAAAGAAAAUAGAUGUGCUCAAAGAAAAACUUAAAAAGCAACAAACACGCCAAAAGGAAGAAUAAGCUCGAGUGAAAGCUCAAUUGGAAGCUCAACAAGCUGUUGUGAACUCUCUCAUAGCGCGCUUUGACAAUGAAACAAACUAGACCUUAAAGGAGUGCUGAAAUGGUGACCAUAUGCUACCUUGAGGGCUCAAGAAUGUUUUG